Molecule: ribosomal RNA, 372 nt
Filed under: uncultured bacterium
Lineage: Bacteria
Description: bacterial SSU rRNA
Rfam family: Bacterial small subunit ribosomal RNA
Source: RNAcentral
UAAUACGAAGGUGGCAAGCGUUAUUCGGAUUUACUGGGCGUACAGGGAGCGUAGGCGGUUCGGUAAGCCCUUUGUGAAAUCUCCAGGCUUAACCUGGAAAAGUCGGAGGGGACUGCCGGGCUAGAGGACGGGAGAGGAGCGCGGAAUUCCCGGUGUAGCGGUGAAAUGCGUAGAGAUCGGGAGGAAGGCCGGUGGCGAAGGCGGCGCUCUGGAACGUUUCUGACGCUGAGGCUCGAAAGCGUGGGGAGCAAACAGGAUUAGAUACCCUGGUAGUCCACGCCUUAAACUAUGAAUACUAAGUGUCGGCGGGUUACCGCCGGUGCCGCAGCUAACGCAUUAAGUAUUCCGCCUGGGAAGUACGGCCGCAAGGUU